UACGUAGGUGGCAAGCGUUAUCCGGAAUGAUUGGGCGUAAAGGGUGAGCAGGCGGUUCUUCAAGUCAUGAGUGAAAGGCAGAAGCUUAACUUCUGUUGGCUGAUGAGACUGGAGAACUUGAGUACAGGAGAGGGCGGCGGAACUCCAUGUGUAGCGGUGAAAUGCAUAGAUAUCACGCAGAACCCCGAUUGCGAAGGCAGCAUACCGGUGCACAACUGACGCUCAGGCACGAAAGCGUGGGUAUCGAACAGG
Molecule: ribosomal RNA, 252 nt
Filed under: uncultured Allobaculum sp.
Lineage: Bacteria; Bacillati; Bacillota; Erysipelotrichia; Erysipelotrichales; Erysipelotrichaceae
Description: partial 16S ribosomal RNA
Rfam family: Bacterial small subunit ribosomal RNA
Source: RNAcentral